Molecule: ribosomal RNA, 1393 nt
Filed under: uncultured bacterium
Lineage: Bacteria
Description: 16S ribosomal RNA
Rfam family: Bacterial small subunit ribosomal RNA
Source: RNAcentral
AGAGUUUGAUCCUGGCUCAGGAUGAACGCUAGCGGCAGGCUUAACACAUGCAAGUCGAGGGGCAGCGCGGGAUAGCAAUAUUCUGGCGGCGACCGGCGGAAGGGUGCGUAACGCGUGAGCGACAUGCCCGUUGCCCGGGGACAACCGGUGGAAACGCCGACUAAUCCCCGAUGGGAUACGAUGCUUCAUGGCAUUGUAUUGAAAGUUACGGCGGCGACGGAUUGGCUCGCGUCCGAUUAGCUUGUUGGCGGGGUAACGGCCCACCAAGGCUACGAUCGGUAGGGGUUCUGAGAGGAAGGCCCCCCACAAUGGGACUGAGACACGGCCCAUACUCCUACGGGAGGCAGCAGUGAGGAAUAUUGGUCAAUGGGCGAGAGCCUGAACCAGCCAAGUAGCGUGUGGGAAGAAUGCCCUAUGGGUUGUAAACCACUUUUGCAGGAGGGUAAAAUGCUUCACGUGUGGAGUAUUGCAAGUAUCCUGCGAAUAAGGACCGGCUAAUUCCGUGCCAGCAGCCGCGGUAAUACGGAAGGUCCAGGCGUUAUCCGGAUUUAUUGGGUUUAAAGGGAGCGUAGGCGGGGAGUCAAGUCAGUUGUGAAAAGCCACGGCCCAACCGUGGUCGUGCAGUUGAAACUGGUUCUCUUGAGUGCGCACGAGGACGGUGGAAUUCGUGGUGUAGCGGUGAAAUGCUUAGAUAUCACGAAGAACUCCGAUUGCGAAGGCAGCCGUCCGGAGCGUUACUGACGCUGAGGCUCGAAGGUGCGGGUAUCAAACAGGAUUAGAUACCCUGGUAGUCCGCACAGUAAACGAUGGAUGCCGGCUGUCGGCGACAGAAUGUCGUUGGCCACGCGAAAGUUUUAAGCAUCCCACCUGGGGAGUACGCCGGCAACGGUGAAACUCAAAGGAAUUGACGGGGGCCCGCACAAGCGGAGGAACAUGUGGUUUAAUUCGAUGAUACGCGAGGAACCUUACCCGGGCUUGAAUUGCAGAGGAAGGAUUUGGAGACAAUGACGCCCUUCGGGGUCUCUGUGAAGGUGCUGCAUGGUUGUCGUCAGCUCGUGCCGUGAGGUGUCGGCUUAAGUGCCAUAACGAGCGCAACCCCUCUCCUUAGUUGCCAUCAGGUUAAGCUGGGCACUCUGGGGACACUGCCACCGUAAGGUGUGAGGAAGGUGGGGAUGACGUCAAAUCAGCACGGCCCUUACGUCCGGGGCUACACACGUGUUACAAUGGCAGGUACAGAGAGAGGGUUGUACGUAAGUGCGAUCAAAUCCUUAAAGCCUGUCUCAGUUCGGACUGGGGUCUGCAACCCGACCCCACGAAGCUGGAUUCGCUAGUAAUCGCGCAUCAGCCAUGGCGCGGUGAAUACGUUCUCGGGCCUUGCACAAAACGCCCGUCA